GGGUGGUUAGCUCAGCAGGUAGAGCGGCAGUCUGUUAAGCUGCGUGUCGCCGGUUCAAGUCCAGCACUGCCCUCCA
This 76-nucleotide transfer RNA is filed under the name Eubacteriales bacterium. RNAcentral's name for it is "tRNA-Asn". It matches the Rfam family "tRNA". Rfam says of the family: Transfer RNA (tRNA) molecules are approximately 80 nucleotides in length. Their secondary structure includes four short double-helical elements and three loops (D, anti-codon, and T loops). The record is from RNAcentral. Lineage: Bacteria; Bacillati; Bacillota; Clostridia; Eubacteriales.